This 530-nucleotide ribosomal RNA is filed under the name Shewanella frigidimarina. Its description in RNAcentral is "bacterial SSU rRNA". It matches the Rfam family "Bacterial small subunit ribosomal RNA", at positions 8 to 527 of the family's 1533-position model. The record is from RNAcentral. Lineage: Bacteria; Pseudomonadati; Pseudomonadota; Gammaproteobacteria; Alteromonadales; Shewanellaceae.
AGAGUUUGAUCCUGGCUCAGAUUGAACGCUGGCGGCAGGGCCUACCCAUGCAAGUCGAGCGGUAACACAAGGGAGCUUGCUCCUGAGGUGACGAGCGGCGGACGGGUGAGUAAUGCCUAGGGAUCUGCCCAGUCGAGGGGGAUAACAGUUGGAAACGACUGCUAAUACCGCAUACGCCCUACGGGGGAAAGGAGGGGACCUUCGGGCCUUCCGCGAUUGGAUGAACCUAGGUGGGAUUAGCUAGUUGGUGAGGUAAUGGCUCACCAAGGCGACGAUCCCUAGCUGUUCUGAGAGGAUGAUCAGCCACACUGGGACUGAGACACGGCCCAGACUCCUACGGGAGGCAGCAGUGGGGAAUAUUGCACAAUGGGGGAAACCCUGAUGCAGCCAUGCCGCGUGUGUGAAGAAGGCCUUCGGGUUGUAAAGCACUUUCAGUAGGGAGGAAAGGUAAUAGUUUAAUAAACUAUUACUGUGACGUUACCUACAGAAGAAGGACCGGCUAACUCCGUGCCAGCAGCCGCGGUAAUACG